CCUACGGGGGGCAGCAGUGAGGAAUAUUGGUCAAUGGGCGAGAGCCUGAACCAGCCAAGUCGCGUGAGGGAAGACGGUCCUACGGAUUGUAAACCUCUUUUGUCAGGGAGCAAGGAGCGCCACGAGUUGUGCGGCGAGAGUACCUGAAGAAAAAGCAUCGGCUAACUCCGUGCCAGCAGCCGCGGUAAUACGGAGGAUGCGAGCGUUAUCCGGAUUUAUUGGGCUUAACGGGUGCGCAGGCGGAAGCGGCAAGUCAGCGGUAAAAUUGCGGGGCUCAAUCUCGCCGAGCCGUUGAAACUGCUCUUCGAGAGGGGGCGAGAAGUGUGCGGAAUGCGUGGUGUAGCAGUGAAAUGCAUAGAUAUCACGCAGAACUCCGGUUGCGAAGGCAGCAUACCGGCGCCCAACUGACGCUCAUGAACGAAAGCGUGGGUAUCGAACAGGAUUAGAUACCCUAGUAGUC
RNAcentral lists this ribosomal RNA (460 nucleotides) under uncultured bacterium. RNAcentral's name for it is "partial 16S ribosomal RNA". It matches the Rfam family "Bacterial small subunit ribosomal RNA", at positions 338 to 795 of the family's 1533-position model. The record is from RNAcentral.